Molecule: ribosomal RNA, 559 nt
Filed under: Epinephelus chlorostigma (brownspotted grouper)
Lineage: Eukaryota; Metazoa; Chordata; Actinopteri; Perciformes; Serranidae
Description: partial 16S ribosomal RNA
Rfam family: Bacterial large subunit ribosomal RNA
Source: RNAcentral
CCGCCUGCCUGUGACUAUAUGUUCAACGGGGCGCGGUAUUUUGACCGUGCGAAGGUAGCGCAAUCACUUGUCUUUUAAAUGGGGACCUGUAUGAAUGGCAUACGAGGGCUUGACUGUCUCCUCUUUCAAGUCAAUGAAAUUGAUCUCCCCGUGCAGAAGCGGGGAUAGACACAUAAGACGAGAAGACCCUAUGGAGCUUUAGACACUAAAGCAGAUCAGCAUUAAUACCCUGAACAUAGGGCACGAAUAUACUGAACCCUGCCCUAAUGUCUUAGGUUGGGGCGACCGCGGAGAAAUAAAAAACCCCCGCAAGGACCGAAUGUACUACAUUCACAACCAAGAGCGACAGCUCUAAUUAACAGAUAUUUCUGACCAAUAAGAUCCGGCAACGCCGAUUAAUGAACCAAGUUACCCUAGGGAUAACAGCGCAAUCUCCUCUUAGAGCCCGUAUCAACGAGGAGGUUUACGACCUCGAUGUUGGAUCAGGACAUCCUAAUGGUGCAGCCGCUAUAAGGUUCGUUUGUUCAACGAUUAAAGUCCUACGUGAUCUGAGUUCAGA